Molecule: ribosomal RNA, 1295 nt
Filed under: Borrelia miyamotoi
Lineage: Bacteria; Pseudomonadati; Spirochaetota; Spirochaetia; Spirochaetales; Borreliaceae
Description: bacterial SSU rRNA
Rfam family: Bacterial small subunit ribosomal RNA
Source: RNAcentral
GGAAUGUAGUAAUACAUUCAGUGGCGAACGGGUGAGUAACGCGUGGAUAAUCUACCUACGAGAUGGGGAUAACUAUUAGAAAUAGUAGCUAAUACCGAAUAAAGUCAAUUAAGAUGUUAGUUGAUGAAAGGAAGCCUUUAAAGCUUCGCUUGUAGAUGAGUCUGCGUCUUAUUAGCUAGUUGGUGGGAUAAGAGCCUACCAAGGCUAUGAUAAGUAACCGGCCUGAGAGGGUGAUCGGUCACACUGGAACUGAGAUACGGUCCAGACUCCUACGGGAGGCAGCAGCUAAGAAUCUUCCGCAAUGGGCGAAAGCCUGACGGAGCGACACUGCGUGAACGAAGAAGGUCGAAAGAUUGUAAAGUUCUUUUAUAAGUGAGGAAUAAGCUUUGUAGGAAAUGACAAAGCGAUGACGUUAAUUUAUGAAUAAGCCCCGGCUAAUUACGUGCCAGCAGCCGCGGUAAUACGUAAGGGGCGAGCGUUGUUCGGGAUCAUUGGGCGUAAAGGGUGAGUAGGCGGAUAUGCAAGUCUAUGUGUAAAAUACCACAGCUCAACUGUGGAACUAUGCUGGAAACUGCAUGACUAGAGUCUGAUAGGGGAAGUUAGAAUUCCUGGUGUAAGGGUGGAAUCUGUUGAUAUCAGGAAGAAUACCAGAGGCGAAGGCGAACUUCUAGGUCAAGACUGACGCUGAGUCACGAAAGCGUAGGGAGCAAACAGGAUUAGAUACCCUGGUAGUCUACGCUGUAAACGAUGCACACUUGGUGUUAAUCGAAAGGUUAGUACCGAAGCUAACGUGUUAAGUGUGCCGCCUGGGGAGUAUGUUCGCAAGAAUGAAACUCAAAGGAAUUGACGGGGGCCCGCACAAGCGGUGGAGCAUGUGGUUUAAUUCGAUGAUACGCGAGGAACCUUACCAGGGCUUGACAUAUACAGGAUAUAGUUAGAGAUAACUAUUCCCCGUUUGGGGUCUGUAUACAGGUGCUGCAUGGUUGUCGUCAGCUCGUGCCGUGAGGUGUUGGGUUAAGUCCCGCAACGAGCGCAACCCUUGUUGUCUGUUACCAGCAUGUAAAGAUGGGGACUCAGACGAGACUGCCGGUGAUAAGCCGGAGGAAGGUGAGGAUGACGUCAAAUCAUCAUGGCCCUUAUGUCCUGGGCUACACACGUGCUACAAUGGCCUGUACAAAGCGAUGCGAAACAGUGAUGUGAAGCAAAACGCAGAAAGCAGGUCUCAGUCCAGAUUGAAGUCUGAAACUCGGCUUCAUGAAGUUGGAAUCGCUAGUAAUCGUAUAUCAGAAUGAUAC